AUUGAACGCUGGCGGCAGGCCUAACACAUGCAAGUCGAGCGAGCGGCGGACGGGUGAGUAAUGUAUGGGAAACUGCCCGAUGGAGGGGGAUAACUACUGGAAACGGUAGCUAAUACCGCAUACUAUCAGAUGUGCCCAUAUGGGAUUAGCUAGUAGGUGAGGUAAUGGCUCACCUAGGCGACGAUCCCUAGCUGGUCUGAGAGGAUGAUCAGCCACACUGGGACUGAGACACGGCCCAGACUCCUACGGGAGGCAGCAGUGGGGAAUAUUGCACAAUGGGCGCAAGCCUGAUGCAGCCAUGCCGCGUGUAUGAAGAAGGCCCUAGGGUUGUAAAGCACUUUCAGCCGGGAGGCGUUACCGACAGAAGAAGCACCGGCUAACUCCGUGCCAGCAGCCGCGGUAAUAC
RNAcentral lists this ribosomal RNA (406 nucleotides) under uncultured bacterium. Its description in RNAcentral is "partial 16S ribosomal RNA". It matches the Rfam family "Bacterial small subunit ribosomal RNA", at positions 30 to 526 of the family's 1533-position model. The record is from RNAcentral.